AAACUUUCAACAACGGAUCUCUUGGUUCCGGCAUCGAUGAAGAACGCAGCGAAAUGCGAUACGUAAUGUGAAUUGCAAAUUCAGUGAAUCAUCGAGUCUUUGAACGCACAUUGCGCCCCCUGGUAUUCCGGGGGGCAUGCCUGUCCGAGCGUCAUUA
This 157-nucleotide ribosomal RNA is filed under the name Penicillium coprobium. RNAcentral's name for it is "5.8S ribosomal RNA". It matches the Rfam family "5.8S ribosomal RNA". From Rfam's summary of the family: 5.8S ribosomal RNA (5.8S rRNA) is a component of the large subunit of the eukaryotic ribosome. The record is from RNAcentral. Lineage: Eukaryota; Fungi; Ascomycota; Eurotiomycetes; Eurotiales; Aspergillaceae. RNAcentral also lists the same sequence under 1 other name.